This 75-nucleotide transfer RNA is filed under the name Vicugna pacos (alpaca). RNAcentral describes it as "tRNA-Ala (AGC) (tRNA-Ala-AGC-622-1)". It matches the Rfam family "tRNA". From Rfam's summary of the family: Transfer RNA (tRNA) molecules are approximately 80 nucleotides in length. Lineage: Eukaryota; Metazoa; Chordata; Mammalia; Artiodactyla; Camelidae. The record is from RNAcentral.
GGAGAGGGCAUAGCUCAGUGGUAGAGUGCAUGCCUAGCAUGCAUGAGGUCCUGGGUUCGAUUCCCAGUACCUCCA